This 73-nucleotide transfer RNA is filed under the name Monodelphis domestica (gray short-tailed opossum). It matches the Rfam family "tRNA". Rfam says of the family: Transfer RNA (tRNA) molecules are approximately 80 nucleotides in length. Their secondary structure includes four short double-helical elements and three loops (D, anti-codon, and T loops). Lineage: Eukaryota; Metazoa; Chordata; Mammalia; Didelphimorphia; Didelphidae. The record is from Rfam by way of RNAcentral.
UCAGCUUUUGUGCAGUAGGUAGUGCAUCAGUCUUGCAAGCUGAAGGUCCCGAGUUCAAUCCUCUGAUUCUCAG